CCUAUUGGUAAAACAAGCUAGAUCCCUGGGUGACAUAUAUUGGCUGUGUGGUGAUAUGCAACUUAGAUCUAGACUGGAAGGCCUGUGGUGGGGGGAGUGUGCCCUUGCCAAAGUUAUUAUGCACAUACACAUAAUAUCUGACAACCACCAAAGUACCUCUGACAUCCCCCGUACUUAUUUCAGGAUAAAGAGGAGCACCCCGGUAAAGGGCAGGUUUGACCCACACAUAUACAUUGUUGCCAUAAGGGUGCCAAGGGGGGUACCAAAUGAAUUCAAAGCAAGAUAUGAAGUUGCAGCAGAGUAUGAAUCCAUUCUCCCAAUCAUCACAGCCAAUAAGAAUUUGAAUUGGAUUAAUUAUAUCUAUUACAAUCAACAGCGCUUUGUUAAUUACACCAGAGAUGCCCUUCAAGGGCUGGCAGAGCAAUUACAAGCCAACUCCAAGAUGACCUUUCAGAAUAGAAUUGCCCUUGACAUGAUCUUAGCAGAAAAAGGUGUUAGUAUGCAAAAUACUUCCGGACACCAUGACAUGUUGUACUUUCAUCCCAGAUAAUACAGGCCCUACUGGUAAAGUGACCCUAGC
Molecule: non-coding RNA, 580 nt
Organism: Pelobates cultripes (western spadefoot toad)
Lineage: Eukaryota; Metazoa; Chordata; Amphibia; Anura; Pelobatidae
Source: the annotation of a GenBank genome assembly